ACGGGAGGCAGCAGUAGGGAAUCUUCCACAAUGGACGCAAGUCUGAUGGAGCAACGCCGCGUGAGUGAAGAAGGUUUUCGGAUCGUAAAGCUCUGUUGUUGGUGAAGAAGGAUGUGAGUAGCAACUGGCUCAUAUUUGACGGUAAUCAACCAGAAAGUCACGGCUAACUACGUGCCAGCAGCCGCGGUAAUACGUAGGUGGCAAGCGUUGUCCGGAUUUAUUGGGCGUAAAGCGAGCGCAGGCGGAAUGAUAAGUCUGAUGUGAAAGCCCACGGCUCAACCGUGGAACUGCAUCGGAAACUGUCAUUCUUGAGUGCAGAAGAGGAGAGUGGAACUCCAUGUGUAGCGGUGGAAUGCGUAGAUAUAUGGAAGAACACCAGUGGCGAAGGCGGCUCUCUGGUCUGCAACUGACGCUGAGGCUCGAAAGCAUGGGUAGCGAACAGGAUUAGAUACCCUGGUA
This 459-nucleotide ribosomal RNA is filed under the name uncultured Lactobacillus sp. RNAcentral's name for it is "partial 16S ribosomal RNA". It matches the Rfam family "Bacterial small subunit ribosomal RNA", at positions 341 to 792 of the family's 1533-position model. Lineage: Bacteria; Bacillati; Bacillota; Bacilli; Lactobacillales; Lactobacillaceae. The record is from RNAcentral.